Molecule: ribosomal RNA, 560 nt
Filed under: uncultured bacterium
Lineage: Bacteria
Description: bacterial SSU rRNA
Rfam family: Bacterial small subunit ribosomal RNA
Source: RNAcentral
CCGCGUGGAGGAUGAAGGUCUUCGGAUUGUAAACUCCUGUCAUGCGAGAACAAGAAAGUGAUAGUAUCGCAAGAGGAAGAGACGGCUAACUCUGUGCCAGCAGCCGCGGUAAUACAGAGGUCUCAAGCGUUGUUCGGAUUCAUUGGGCGUAAAGGGUGCGUAGGUGGCGUGGAAAGUUGAGUGUGAAAUCCUGGGGCUUAACCUCAGAACUGCACUCAAUACUCCCAUGCUAGAGGAAUGUAGAGGAGAGUGGAAUUCACAGUGUAGCAGUGAAAUGCGUAGAUAUCGUGAGGAAGACCAGUUGCGAAGGCGACUCUCUGGGCAUUUCCUGACACUGAGGCACGAAGGCCAGGGGAGCAAACGGGAUUAGAUACCCCGGUAGUCCUGGCAGUAAACGGUGCACGUUUGGUGUGGGCGGGCUCAGACCCCGUCCGUGCCGGAGCUAACGCGUUAAACGUGCCGCCUGGGAAGUACGGUCGCAAGAUUAAAACUCAAAGAAAUUGACGGGGGCCCGCACAAGCGGUGGAGUAUGUGGCUUAAUUCGAUGCAACGCGAAGAAA